CGCAAGCCUGACGGAGCAAGACCGCGUGCGGGAUGACGGCCUAAUGGUUGUAAACCGCUUUUCUCUGGGAAGAUGACGACGGUACCAGAGGAAUCAGCCUCGGCUAACUCCGUGCCAGCAGCCGCGGUAAUACGGAGGAGGCAAGCGUUAUCCGGAAUUAUUGGGCGUAAAGCGUCCGUAGGUGGUUAUUCAAGUCUGCUGUCAAAGCGUGGGGCUUAACUCCAUAGAGGCAGUGGAAACUGGAUGACUUGAGUGCGGUAGGGGUCGAGGGAAUUCCCAGUGUAGCGGUGAAAUGCGUAGAUAUUGGGAAGAACACCAGUGGCGAAAGCGCUCGACUGGGCCUGCACUGACACUGAGGGACGAAAGCUAGGGGAGCG
Molecule: ribosomal RNA, 377 nt
Filed under: uncultured cyanobacterium
Lineage: Bacteria; Bacillati; Cyanobacteriota
Description: bacterial SSU rRNA
Rfam family: Bacterial small subunit ribosomal RNA
Source: RNAcentral